CCUACGGGAGGCAGCAGUGAGGAAUAUUGGUCAAUGGACGAGAGUCUGAACCAGCCAAGUAGCGUGAAGGAUGACUGCCCUAUGGGUUGUAAACUUCUUUUAUAUGGGAAUAAAAUGUUCCACGUGUGGGAUUUUGUAUGUACCAUAUGAAUAAGGAUCGGCUAACUCCGUGCCAGCAGCCGCGGUAAUACGGAGGAUCCGAGCGUUAUCCGGAUUUAUUGGGUUUAAAGGGAGCGUAGGUGGAUUGUUAAGUCAGUUGUGAAAGUUUGCGGCUCAACCGUAAAAUUGCCGUUGAAACUGGCAGUCUUGAGUACAGUAGAGGUGGGCGGAAUUCGUGGUGUAGCGGUGAAAUGCUUAGAGAUCACGAAGAACUCCGAUUGCGAAGGCAGUUCACUGGACUGCAACUGACACUGAGGCUCGAAAGUGUGGGUAUCAAACAGGAUUAGAUACCCUAGUAGUC
RNAcentral lists this ribosomal RNA (460 nucleotides) under uncultured bacterium. RNAcentral's name for it is "partial 16S ribosomal RNA". It matches the Rfam family "Bacterial small subunit ribosomal RNA", at positions 338 to 795 of the family's 1533-position model. The record is from RNAcentral.